RNAcentral lists this ribosomal RNA (253 nucleotides) under uncultured bacterium. Its description in RNAcentral is "partial 16S ribosomal RNA". It matches the Rfam family "Bacterial small subunit ribosomal RNA", at positions 524 to 776 of the family's 1533-position model. The record is from RNAcentral.
UACGUAGGGUGCGAGCGUUGUCCGGAAUUAUUGGGCGUAAAGAGCUUGUAGGCGGUUUGUCGCGUCUGCUGUGAAAAUCCGGGGCUCAACCCCGGACUUGCAGUGGGUACGGGCAGACUAGAGUGCGGUAGGGGAGAUUGGAAUUCCUGGUGUAGCGGUGGAAUGCGCAGAUAUCAGGAGGAACACCGGUGGCGAAGGCGGGUCUCUGGGCCGAUAUUGACGCUGAGGAGCGAAAGCGUGGGGAGCGAACAGG